Molecule: ribosomal RNA, 637 nt
Filed under: Enterobacter cloacae
Lineage: Bacteria; Pseudomonadati; Pseudomonadota; Gammaproteobacteria; Enterobacterales; Enterobacteriaceae
Description: bacterial SSU rRNA
Rfam family: Bacterial small subunit ribosomal RNA
Source: RNAcentral
GCGUAAGCGCACGCAGGCGGUCUGUCAAGUCGGAUGUGAAAUCCCCGGGCUCAACCUGGGAACUGCAUUCGAAACUGGCAGGCUAGAGUCUUGUAGAGGGGGGUAGAAUUCCAGGUGUAGCGGUGAAAUGCGUAGAGAUCUGGAGGAAUACCGGUGGCGAAGGCGGCCCCCUGGACAAAGACUGACGCUCAGGUGCGAAAGCGUGGGGAGCAAACAGGAUUAGAUACCCUGGUAGUCCACGCCGUAAACGAUGUCGAUUUGGAGGUUGUGCCCUUGAGGCGUGGCUUCCGGAGCUAACGCGUUAAAUCGACCGCCUGGGGAGUACGGCCGCAAGGUUAAAACUCAAAUGAAUUGACGGGGGCCCGCACAAGCGGUGGAGCAUGUGGUUUAAUUCGAUGCAACGCGAAGAACCUUACCUGGUCUUGACAUCCGCAGAACUUACCAGAGAUGCUUUGGUGCCUUCGGGAACUGUGAGACAGGUGCUGCAUGGCUGUCGUCAGCUCGUGUUGUGAAAUGUUGGGUUAAGUCCCGCAACGAGCGCAACCCUUAUCCUUUGUUGCCAGCGGUUAGGCCGGGAACUCAAAGGAGACUGCCAGUGAUAAACUGGAGGAAGGUGGGGAUGACGUCAAGUCAUCAU